UUUUAAAGAUCCCAUGGGAACUAUUUGAUUUUCCGGGAUAAAAAUUUUUGCCUAAAACAAUUACAGGGGCGCAAUCUACCUCGAUACCAACAUACAAAUUGGUUAAGCAGAUUGGUUUUUGGGAAUCCCGUGGGAACUCUUUGAUUUUCCGGGAUAAAAAGUAGCCUAUGUCCGUCCCCGGGAUAUAA
This is a long non-coding RNA of Maniola jurtina (meadow brown), 188 nucleotides long. RefSeq lists it as uncharacterized. The transcript has 3 exons. The record is from RefSeq and is a predicted model, not a curated record. NCBI's taxonomy places the organism in Eukaryota, Metazoa, Arthropoda, Insecta, Lepidoptera, Nymphalidae.